GUGCACACUUUGGUAGCACAUAUACUAAAAUUGGAACAGUAUAGAGAUUAGCAUCGCCCUUGCACAAGGAUGACAUGCAAAUACAUGAUGUGUUCCAUAUUUUU
Small nuclear RNA from Nycticebus coucang (slow loris), 104 nucleotides. NCBI's taxonomy places the organism in Eukaryota, Metazoa, Chordata, Mammalia, Primates, Lorisidae. The record is from RefSeq and is a predicted model, not a curated record.